GACGAACUGUUCUAACGUUAUUCGGAAUCACUGGGCUUAAAGGGCGCGUAGGCUGUUUGUUAAGCGGGGUCUGAAAUCCCUCGGCUCAACCGCGGAACUGGGCUUCGAACUGGCAGACUAGAGUGAAGUAGGGGUAAGCGGAACUUGCGGUGGAGCGGUGAAAUGCUUUGAUAUCGCAAGGAACACCGGCGGCGAAGGCGGCUUACUGGGCUUCAACUGACGCUUAAGCGCGAAAGCUAGGGUAGCGAACGGGAUUAGAUACCCCGGUAGUCCCUGAGCGGGCUGG
Molecule: ribosomal RNA, 286 nt
Filed under: uncultured prokaryote
Description: partial 16S ribosomal RNA
Rfam family: Bacterial small subunit ribosomal RNA
Source: RNAcentral